UUUUCAAACUUCUUGUUUUAUUACCACCACCAACUUCUGCCAAAUGUUCUGUACCACAAGUCCAGAUCUGGAUGAUACAAAGACUCCUAUUAAAAGCAGUUACUGCUCCACUCUACUGUUUUGACAGAAGGGGUUUUGCCUCAGGCCUCGUUACCAGGGAACUGCCGGUAAGGUCUUGGACAAAAAAAAAGCAAUGCACUCAUAAGGGUACUUGCGGAAAAACUCAAGUUACUGAAAUCUAUGGCAAUGUAACAGCAACAAUAACUACUCGUUAUACAACAGUCCUGUAAACAAACCGCAGAUGUAGUGGGCUACAGUACAACGUUAAAAAACAAUGUCGAGUAGAGUUGUAAACAGCAUUGCGCUAGUACUCAAGUAGGAGAAAGUAAAAGGAUUAUCAAGGCAAUUAAUUAUAGGGAAAGAAUGAGAUGUACAAUGC
Non-coding RNA from Schizosaccharomyces pombe (fission yeast), 439 nucleotides. NCBI's taxonomy places the organism in Eukaryota, Fungi, Ascomycota, Schizosaccharomycetes, Schizosaccharomycetales, Schizosaccharomycetaceae. The record is from the annotation of a GenBank genome assembly.